AACUGCCGAAUUGCCUCCACCUUACUGGGAAGAGGCGUGGCUCCCUGUGAGGUAACAUGGUGUCCCAGGAAUGAAAUAGUGCUGAAACCAAACUGGCACUUGGCGGCAUUGAUAACCAGCCCGUGGUUCCGGAGCCGCUGUAACAGCACCUGGAGGUGCGCAGUGUUCCUGGUGGGAGCGGCUGGCAACCAGAAUAUCAUUGAGGUACACAAAAACAAAGUCCAACCCUCGACCAACCAUGUCCAUCAGCCGCUGAAAAGCCUGCGCAGCGUUCUUAAGCCCGAACGGCAUCUGCAGCCACUCCAACAGGCCGAACGGGGUGAUGUUAGCUGCCUUUGACACAUCAUCGGGGUGCACGGGAAUCUGGUGGCAGCUGCGCAUCAGAUCUACCUUGGAAAAUAUGGUAGCACCAUCCAAGUGGGGCGUGAAGUCCUGGAUGUGUGGGACUGGGUCGCGAUCAGCAGUCGUGACGGUGUGAAAGCGGCGGUAGUCCCCACACGGUCUCCACUCACCGGACGACUUGGGAACUAUAUGUAAUGGGGAAGUCAACGGGCUGUCGAGCGUUGCACAAUUCCCAUGUCUUCUGGAACUCCUCCUUAGCUAAACGCAACUUGUCGGGCGGGAGCCUGCACACCCGUGCAUGCAACGGAGGACCGGCAGUGAGGAUAUGAUGCACCACCCCAUGCUUGGGAGUGGCUAAGUAAAAAUCAGGGGUUAUGAGCUCCGGGAAAUCGGCCAGAAUCAGAGCAUAUGCCCCACCCACAUCUGUCACAGAUCCAAGAUGUGGGCUGGAGGAAACCGCAGACCGCGAGGAAAUGGGCUGGGGAGACGCCGGAGGAAUAAGGCGCCGGCACCUCUACUGGUGAUUGGCUGAGGCAUUUCCCAGAAACGAGCAGAGGGCGCGGCAUCGGUGGGCCACCGCACCCCAGCGUUGGUGGUAAUAAUACCACUGGCGCUUACGCGGUCGACUGCGGCACAGUGAUGGCAGCUGAGGGUGAAACGUCCCAGCGUGGCAGCUUCUGCGAUGGCGCGGACACCCGGCUGAUGGAACCACCAUCCUGCUGCUUGGUGAGUCACAGCUCGUCUGCCCAUUCAGCGAUCUGCAGGGGAUUGGCGAAAUCGGACCCGGCUAGGAGCAGGCGGGUGUCGUCGGGCAUCUGCUCCAGGAAAGUCUGCUAAAAUAAUAGGUAAGGCUGGUGGCCAUCCAUGAGAGCGAGCAUCUCGCUCAUCAACACAGAUGGCUUACGAUCGCCGAGUCCGUCCGUAUGCAACAGGCGAGCUGCGCAAUCGCGGCGACUGAGCCCGAAGGUGUGGAGCAACAGCGCCUUGAGACCUUCAUACAGUACUUGCCAAAAGCGGGUGGAUUCUGAAGGCAAACAAGUUUUGGAAUCGGCGAUUUCCAUUUCCUGAAAGCAGUCAAUGAUUACAAGGUUGACCCAGAUAUGGACAAUCCUCUGAAUGAAAAAGUUGCUGCUGCGGUCCCUCCUAAAGCUCUCCCCUCACAACUCACAUCUAUGCCUUCUAGGUUAAGAAUCCUCUACUCUGAGAAUAAAUAGACUAAUCUGACACCUGGACUUGCAACAGACCACCAGCUUCUGAGUGGAGUGUGACCGGAGCCCCUGACCUUUGAUAUCACAGUCAGUGUUCUGCUGAACCCUGACCUCUCUGCACACCUUUUCUUCCUGACAAAAACCUAUGUGGCAUUUGGAUGGAAUGGAAUGAGCACAAUGUGUUGUGAAAUUACUUAUUUCCUGGAGACGCAAGAGACCUUAGGAUCUGGAAUCUGGAGCUUAACAUGAAUUGCUGGAGGAACUCAACAAGUCGAGUGGGUGAAAGGAAACAUCAACAUUUCAUGUCCUACAUUGAUCUGCCUGCUUAGAUGUAACAAGGCUCCCCAAGGGGAAAAGCCAAAGAUAAAUGAUUACCAAUGCAAUGGUGUAACAUGUGUGGCAGCACCCUCUCCAUUGGAUGCCCUUUAACCAGCUGACAGGCCAGGAUAGGCCAAUUCCCAGCAUUAUUGGUAACAGCUGGGUCCAAUUAGCUGAUAUUGAUUGGCCAUUUGAACCUUGUCAGCCUACUGCUGAUAAAAGUCCUGUUGCAGGCUUGAGCAAGCCUGAGCCACUGGGACAAACAGGAGACCAUCAAUAGUGCUUUGUGUUCAAGACAGGGUUGCUGGGAAGAAACCCUAGAUGGAUAGUGCCUCUCCUGAGGGUAAGACUGAGUAGUUGGGGCCAGCCUGUGAUGGCAGAACCUCAUCCUUCACACAGACAAUGAGGGACUUUGCCCACACACAGAGGCAAAGACUGGUUGCCAGGAUAAUUCAGAGGCUGCCAGUGCUGCCUCUUCAAGCCUAAAGCUGAGCUGCCAGGAAGAGACCUGUACUGUCAGUGUCUACUCUUGAGACAAGGGUGAACUGUGGGAAGAAGGUUGAAAUUGCCACUAUUAGUUCUUUGAAGACCAGAUCUGAGCUGCUGAAACAGCCCUGAGAUUGCCAGCAUCAUUGCACAUGUACCCUGAUGAUCCUGGACUUUCUUACCACUGUAAAUAAAAUAUAUCAUUUGAGCUCUCCCUACUGCAAUUGCCAGUAUGUUCAAUGCAGAAACCCAAUGUCAAUCCCUGAUGCCCUGCAUGAUGUGGGAAUGGGGCACAACAGGAAGAGCAGGAUAUCCAGGUUGGGAUUUGUUCUAUUGAUUGGAUUAUGCUGAUGUGGAAGUAUAUAAUUCAAUUUUAGCAAGAGUUACUGACAUUUAAUUAACCUACAUUUCAUUACCUACUGGACCCAUAAGAGUGCAUAACAUCUGACCAUUAAAAGAAAAAAUUGGAGCAGACUGUCAGACACUUUUUCUCAUGAAAUUGAGGUUUAUGAUAUCAAUUAAGUCCCUAAAACAAGUCAUUAAAAUGUUGCCAUAUGGCAACCUGCUGAGAGGGUGAAUCCUUCACUGAUUCUCAAUUCUCUGUCACCACUCUGAUGGCCUAAGUGGGUGUGAGCUCCAGAUAUGACCAUUAUAUGCCACUUUCGUUUGUAACAGCAUGUUUGCCUCAAAUCUCCUUCUUCAAUGUUUCCCUUAGCUCUGAGAUGAUUCACUUUUAAUUCACUGUUCCCAGUCCACUUUUGCUAAAUUGCUCCUCAACUAGCAUAGGCGGCCUUAUCCCAAUUCACUUCAAUCCCACAUGUAUUUCCACAACAACACAAAAGGAAGAUCAUUCAGUCCAUCAAGCCUAUGCCGACACUCGAAACAUUCCCAUUUCAUCCCAUUAUUUCCUUGUGACUUUACACAUGUCUGUCAACUCCCUCAUAAUUGCCACCCACUUACCCUGGAGGCAAUUACAGCAACCAGUUUAUCUUUGGGAUGCAGGAAUAAAACCAAAGCACCCAGUGGAAACCUACACAGUCACAGGGAGAACAUAUAAAUGUCAUACUGACAACACCAAAGGUCAGCGUGAAGCCUGAGUCACAACAUCUGUAAAUCAGCAGCAUUAACUGUACUGCCACUGUGUUGAAUCUAAUUACAUUUUAAUCACUACAACUUCCAGUCACCUGUCACUUUGCAGAUUACAUGACUGCUGUGCAGACUUCUUUGUUGAAUCUGCAAGAGUGGCUCAAAACUUCCAGUCAACUUACAGUUUAUUUUUGCAUCCCUCACCCACUCUGAUAUCUCUAUCAUUACCCUCCUACAUUCUUUCUGACAAAGCCCAGUAUAAACUAAUCUUCUGCUUACAAUCUUCUUGACUCAAUUUCAAAUUCCAAAAUGUUGCGUAGAUAACUUUCUCUGUCUGUAUCCAUCUGCAAUAAUGGGCCUAUUUUUCUCUCUCAAUCAGCACAACCUGAUUAAUUUACCGAAUAGGAUUUAGGAAUUAUGUACCCUCUAUAGCAAGGUAAUUGACAUUGCCCACCAGUUUUGCACGUCAGAAAUAUGCCUACAAAUUUACCAUAGGAACCUCUUGUGACCAUCAAAGUAUAUUUGAUAAAAUGACAAAUGUCACACAUGGCUGAAAUCCAUGAGCCAGGCAGCGAGACCAACAAGGAUACAAAAUGGGCCCGGGGACAGAAAGUAGAGCAAAGCUAAUUUUCAGAUUGGCAGGAGAGAUGCAUAUUGUGAUGCUCACACGGUGCCAUGUCAGGGUCAGUGGUACUUUUGAUGUCCAUGAUGGGUUUGAAUUUAGAGAUGCAGGGAACAUUUCCACCAUAAAUACUGAACACAAUACUUGCAAGUAUAAUGAACGGUGAGCAAGACACCAACAGAUUUCAAAAGGACAUGGAUGGGUUGGUGGUAUUUUCAUUACUGAUGAAACUCAAAGCAGAAAGGUGAGGCAGUUCAUUACAGUAGCAGGAAUGAGGAGAAAUAAAUGGACUUUUAUGAUUCAAUUUCAUAGCGUCAUAACACGUGGAAACAGGCCCUUUGGCCCAAUUUGCCCACGCCAACCAAGAUGCCACAUUUACACAUCCCACCUGCCUGCAUUUGGCCUAUAUAUUUCUAAACCUUUCCUAUCUAGACAUCUGACCAAAUGUCUUUGAAAUUGUGUGAUAGUAAUGUUAUGAAUCCAUGGGAUUGAAAAAAUAAAGUUUUGUUGGAACUUUCACGUUCAAUUUUGCAGGUUAAAAAAACAGUUAAUGAAGCAAUUAAGAUCCAGGGCUUUGUAGGUGUCAACAAAAUGCUGUUCCUCUAGUUUCCAUGUACCAAAGUCAGGGGGUACUAAUAGUAACAACAUACUCCAUGAGUGGUCUCUACGGUGUGAAGUGUGGAGAAAUGUUCUUCUCGUAAAGAGUCAUGACUCUCUAGAAUUUUAUUUCUUGACAGGUGAUGUAAGCUUAAUAAUUAGAAGCAUUUUAUGUGGAAAUGGAUAAAUAUUUGCUAAAUUUAGGACUAGAGGAGUAUGGAGUGAUGGCACAUCAGAGGAGUUGAGGAAUGCAUGGAUCAGCCAUUAUGAUAUUUAAUGGUGGGACAGGCUUGACGGUCUACUCCUCCUAGUUUCUUCUGUUCUUCGGUUCUUGUGAAUUAGCAAUUGCCAAUCGAAGGUUGAAUUGCUGUUUAAAAUCAGGAAGGGUCCAAAUGCACAUUGAAAUAUGAACAUUUCUCAGCCUCCCUAUCAAAUUCUCUUUACUGUAUUAUAUUCUAAACCAACACAUAAUCUUUGCAACUACAUUUUAGACUUAACAUUUGUCAUAAGUAGAUCAUAAAAGCAUAACUCACAAUGGGAAUAAUUCUCAUGGGAAACCAGUUACUAAAUUAUUCAUUUGGGGUCCUACUUUUAUGGGCUUCUUCCAUGAAGUUAACAAUAACGCAUGAUUGGCACUUCAUGUCCUUCGAAUGAAAGGUUUAGUUUGCUACAGUUAAUGAAAAAUUUAACAAUACUUUCCAGCUGGUUGGUAGCCAUGCCAUUGCUACUUGCAAGGCCUUUUCUAGUCCUGGUUAUUAAGAUGUUCCACCAUCAAGCCUAGGGAGAAUCUUCAAAUGAUCUUGAAUCACCCUCAUUGAAAAACUUUUAUUAUUUUGACAAGUCAUCUCACAAGAUAACAUAUCUUGAGCAUACAUGCAGAUACAGUAAGGAAUUAGUGAGUUGAAUAAUGUGUUAGCAAUAGGAUUGGAGUUUGAUUGCAAUUACAUUGGGCUCUGGAAAGAUCAUAGUACAGCACAGGUCACGAACAUGCCCUUCAGUCUACAAUAUCUGUGCUGACCAUGAUGCCAAAUUAAAAUAAUCUUGUCUGCUAGCACUUGAUACAUAUCACCCCAUUCUCUGCAUAUGCUAUCU
Molecule: long non-coding RNA, 5751 nt
Organism: Leucoraja erinaceus (little skate)
Lineage: Eukaryota; Metazoa; Chordata; Chondrichthyes; Rajiformes; Rajidae
Exons: 5
Source: RefSeq, a predicted model, not a curated record